RNAcentral lists this ribosomal RNA (253 nucleotides) under uncultured bacterium. Its description in RNAcentral is "partial 16S ribosomal RNA". It matches the Rfam family "Bacterial small subunit ribosomal RNA", at positions 524 to 776 of the family's 1533-position model. The record is from RNAcentral.
UACGAAGGGGGCUAGCGUUGCUCGGAAUCACUGGGCGUAAAGCGCACGUAGGCGGCUUUUUAAGUCAGGGGUGAAAUCCUGGAGCUCAACUCCAGAACUGCCUUUGAUACUGAGAAGCUUGAGUCCGGGAGAGGUGAGUGGAACUGCGAGUGUAGAGGUGAAAUUCGUAGAUAUUCGCAAGAACACCCGUGGCGAAGGCGGCACUCUGGGACGGUACUGACGCUGAGACGCGAAAGCGUGGGGAGCGAACAGG